RNAcentral lists this ribosomal RNA (451 nucleotides) under uncultured Chromatiales bacterium. RNAcentral describes it as "bacterial SSU rRNA". It matches the Rfam family "Bacterial small subunit ribosomal RNA", at positions 1077 to 1533 of the family's 1533-position model. The record is from RNAcentral. Lineage: Bacteria; Pseudomonadati; Pseudomonadota; Gammaproteobacteria; Chromatiales.
UGGGUAGUCCGUACGAGCGCACCUUGUCCCUAGUUGCCAGCACUUCGGGUGGGAACUCUAGGGAGACUGCCGGUGAUAAACCGGAGGAAGGUGGGGAUGACGUCAAGUCAUCAUGGCCCUUAUGGGGAGGGCUACACACGUGCUACAAUGGCCGGCACAGAGGGCUGCAAAGCCGCGAGGUGGAGCGAAUCUCAGAAAACCGGUCGUAGUCCGGAUUGCAGUCUGCAACUCGACUGCAUGAAGCCGGAAUCGCUAGUAAUCGCGGAUCAGAACGCCGCGGUGAAUACGUUCCCGGGCCUUGUACACACCGCCCGUCACACCAUGGGAGUGGGCUGUACCAGAAGUAGGUAGUCUAACCUUCGGGAGGACGCUUACCACGGUGUGGUUCAUGACUGGGGUGAAGUCGUAACAAGGUAGCCCUAGGGGAACCUGGGGCUGGAUCACCUCCUUU